GUGGAUUAGAUACCCUGGUAGUCCACGCCGUAAACGAUGAUAACUAGCUGUCCGGGCUCAUAGAGCUUGGGUGGCGCAGCUAACGCAUUAAGUUAUCCGCCUGGGGAGUACGGUCGCAAGAUUAAAACUCAAAGGAAUUGACGGGGGCCUGCACAAGCGGUGGAGCAUGUGGUUUAAUUCGAAGCAACGCGCAGAACCUUACCAGCCUUUGACAUCCUAGGACGACUUCUGGAGACAGAUUUCUUCCCUUCGGGGACCUAGUGACAGGUGCUGCACGGCUGUCGCCAACU
RNAcentral lists this ribosomal RNA (290 nucleotides) under uncultured bacterium. RNAcentral's name for it is "partial 16S ribosomal RNA". It matches the Rfam family "Bacterial small subunit ribosomal RNA", at positions 773 to 1060 of the family's 1533-position model. The record is from RNAcentral.